Molecule: transfer RNA, 72 nt
Filed under: Clydonella sawyeri
Lineage: Eukaryota; Discosea; Flabellinia; Vannellidae
Description: tRNA-Ile
Rfam family: tRNA
About the family: Transfer RNA (tRNA) molecules are approximately 80 nucleotides in length.
Source: RNAcentral
AGGCCUAUAACUUAGUGGUAGAGUAAUCGCUUGAUAAGCGGGAGGUCAUAGGUUCGAAUCCUAUUAGGCCUA